UGCGGAGUAGAGUAAUUGGUCAACUCAUUAGGCUCAUGACCUGAAGAUUAUAGGUUCAAGUCCUAUCUCCGCAU
This 74-nucleotide transfer RNA is filed under the name Rickettsiales bacterium. Its description in RNAcentral is "tRNA-Met". It matches the Rfam family "tRNA". From Rfam's summary of the family: Transfer RNA (tRNA) molecules are approximately 80 nucleotides in length. Their secondary structure includes four short double-helical elements and three loops (D, anti-codon, and T loops). The record is from RNAcentral. Lineage: Bacteria; Pseudomonadati; Pseudomonadota; Alphaproteobacteria; Rickettsiales.